Molecule: long non-coding RNA, 1703 nt
Organism: Monodelphis domestica (gray short-tailed opossum)
Lineage: Eukaryota; Metazoa; Chordata; Mammalia; Didelphimorphia; Didelphidae
Source: Ensembl
AUGUAUAUAUGCAUAUAUAUAUUGUUGUUGUUGUUGAGUCAUUUCAGUCCUGUGGGGCUCUUUGUGAUCUAUUUAGGGUAUUCUGGGCAAAGAUACUAGAGUGAUUUGUAAUUUCCUUCUCUAGCUUAUUUUUCAGAUGAUGAAACUGAGUCAAAAAGGUUAAGUGACUUAACAAGGGUCACACAGUUGGACAAUGUCUAUAACUCGAUUUGGACUCAGGUCUUCCUGACUCCAGGCCUGACUGUGCUCUCUGUCUGUGCCUCUGUCUCUCUCUCAAUUUCUCACUCUCUCUGUGUGUCUCCAUGUCUCUAUCUCUUUCAGUCUUUUUCUAUUCUCUCUCUUUCUCUCUCUUUCUCUGUGUCUGUUUCAAUCUCUCUCUCAAUUUCUCAGUCUCUCUUUCUCUCUGUCUCUCUCUCUGUCCUUUUCUGUCCUUCCCUCCCUCCUUCUCUCUCUUUCUCUCUCAAUUUCUCACUCUCUCUGUGUGUCUCCAUGUCUCUAUCUCUUUCAGUCUUUUUCUAUUCUCUCUCUUUCUCUCUCUGUCUUUCUCUUUCUCUGUGUCUGUUUCAAUCUCUCUCUCAAUUUCUCAGUCUCUCUUUCUCUCUGUCUCUCUGUCCUUUUCUGUCCUUCCCUCCCUCCUUCUCUCUCUUUCUCUCUCAAUUUCUCACUCUCUCUGUGUGUCUCCAUAUCUCUAUGUCUUUCAGUCUUUUUCUAUUCUCUCUCUCUUUUUUUCUGUCUUUCUCUGUCUCUGUCUCUCUCAAUCUCUCUCUCUCAAUUUCUCAGUCUCUCUCUCUGUCUCUCUCUGUCUUUUUCUGUCCUUUCCUCCCUCCUUCUCUCUCUCUCUCUCAAUUUCUCACUCUCUCUGUGUCUCCAUGUCUCUAUCACUUUCAGACUUUUUUCUAUUCUCUCUCUCUUUCUCUCUCUGUCUUUCUCUGUCUCUAUCUAUCUCCAUAUACACAUAUAUGCACAUUAAACAUUUUAAAAUAUCAUAAUAACCAAUAUACAUGCACAUAUGUAUUAUAUGUAUACACUAUACCUACGUGUAGAACACCUACACAUGUAGAUGCAUAUAAAUGUACAUUUAGUUAUAAGUAUAUUUGUGUAUAUACAUAUAUAAAGCUAUAUACUAACAUAAAUGCAUGUACAGACAUAUAGAAAUAUAUAUGUAGAUCCCAAAAUAUUUUUCCUUAUUCCUACAAUUGAAGAGUUUUUCCCCACAUUCAACAGUGACUAAUUAGCCCACAAUACAGUCCCCAUAAGAGGUGCCUAAUCACUAUUUUUGAAUGAGUGAGUAAAAAAAGAGAUACCAAGUAAAUUGCCCUCAGGCCUGCCACUGAUGCUAAAGAUGUUGGCUUAAAGCAUGUCUCUCUGUUAAGAUGAUAUAAUAUCUGGAAGUGAAAAGUAUUUAUUUUUAACAUUUAAAAAUUAGCAUAAUUUUUUUCCCUUUCAAGUAUAUGGCUAUUUUAGAUCAGAUUUGAUAGAGAGGAAGAUGGAGAGAUCCUAAACAAGUGGCAUUAUUUUGGAAAGGCAGGCUGAGGUCAAGGACAUAGAGCACUCAAGUAUAAUUCAGUCAAUAUUUACUAAUGUUUAUUAAGUUAUGCUACUGUGGUGUGUUAUGAGGAUACAAAUUUGGAAAACAAAAUGUUUCUUGCCCUCAGGGAAUUUAUAACCUAAUAAAGGAAAAAAGUCUUAUCUGAAAAAAAACA